AAGGUGGAUGUUGCUUGUAUGCUAAGCAAGGAAGAGGCAUGCCCUACCUGGCAGCGACCACCUUCCACUCAAGGGAUAUAGCACUAUCAUUUAGCACACACUGUUCCAGGAGAAACAAUAAUCAUGAACAGAAACAGUAACCAACAAUAUCCCUACUGACCGGCGUGGCUCCACCAACGAUCCAUCAGCCCCUGGUACAGAAAGAGAUCCAGAAGCUCACGCAUGGAGGACAUGGACAUUGGUAUCGUCUGUGACGAGGGUUCCCCAGGAUCAAUAGCGUCAAGGACAGGAACGCCUGUGCCCAAUGUAAUAUUCUAAAAACCUGUUAUACUCCAUUCAUCGUAGAGAUAGCCUCCUGCUCCCCCUCUCUUACUCACGAUAAUGACUACCUGAUAGUGAUUCCUUAUGCUCACAUCUUUGGCCUCAUGCUGCAAGCUCUAAAGCUUCCCCCUGCAACUUACCAGCACAAAAUAUACCCAGGCGGAAAGAAUCGUGUGACAGUGACUUUCAUUUCUACUUUGGAAUUGCUAGAUGGUUCACUUGUCCCGAGUUCUAUACCAGGUGCAAUCUUAGAUAGCUAUGAAGAUGCAGAAGACAGUGCUGCUAUGGAGGCUAUUAGAUUCAUGGAGAAUGCAUAUGGCAAAGAAAUGAGGGGCUACCACUACACCCAUAUCAAGAGGCUAGAAAAUCAAGUGACGCACCUGGUCAAAUGGUUGACUUCAUCCAAUGAGACAAUCAAGAAGCUGCGCAAAACAUGCUACUACGCUGUCAGGUACAUGAACUCAUAUUCUGCCCGGAUAGAAAACACAACAGCUGCUCGCCACCUGAAAGGUCAGGACAACACCAAAGGAGUUAUGAAAACAGCUCUUGCAAGCAUCGAAGGACUGACGCAAAGGCUACGCUACAUUGCUAUGAAGUUUGAGCAGCGCCUUGAAGCAACCAGAAACAGUUUCUGGUAAACUUUGCUGAAUGUAUCCUGGAUAGCGUGCUUCAUCGGUUACCGCAACAACCACCUUUUGUUUCAUAUCUAUCAGACCAGCAUCUUUCCCAUUUUGGACUACUCCCAACAAGAUAUGUAUAGACUUUAGUCCUCCCUUGCUGCCUCUAUGGUGAAAAGUAGUCUAUGAUGUAGUUUACGAUCUUUAGAUUUUAUUGUUGUCUGUAUAGUCAAGAGCGGUUUACCAUCGCUUAUUGUAUAUAUGUGAAGGUCUCCUCUUCUACUGUUGUUUCACAACACUAUGACCGAAGAAAACAACCUUUCCUUUUA
Triticum aestivum (bread wheat) is the source of this 1267-nucleotide RNA transcript. RefSeq lists it as uncharacterized. The record is from RefSeq and is a predicted model, not a curated record. The transcript is spliced from 3 exons. Lineage: Eukaryota; Viridiplantae; Streptophyta; Magnoliopsida; Poales; Poaceae.